CUACCAUGCAAGUCGAGCGAAGAAGCCCCUUCGGGGGUGGAUUAGCGGCGGACGGGUGAGUAACGCGUGAACAAUCUGCCCUGUACAGAGGAAUAGCCUCGGGAAACCGGGAUUAAAACCACAUGACACUUAGAGAUCGCAUGAUUUUAGAGUCAAAUUGAUUAAGAGGUAUGGGAUGAGUUCGCGUCUGAUUAGCUAGUUGGUGAGGUAAAGGCCCACCAAGGCAACGAUCAGUAGCCGGCCUGAGAGGGUGAACGGCCACAUUGGAACUGAGACACGGUCCAAACUCCUACGGGAGGCAGCAGUGGGGAAUAUUGCACAAUGGAGGGAACUCUGAUGCAGCGACGCCGCGUGAGUGAAGAAGGUUUUCGGAUCGUAAAACUCUGUCCUUGGUGACGAAAGGAAUGACGGUAGCCAAGGAGGAAGCCCCGGCUAACUACGUGCCAGCAGCCGCGGUAAUACGUAGGGGGCGAGCGUUGUCCGGAUUUACUGGGCGUAAAGGGUGAGUAGGCGGUUGUAUAUGUCAGGUGUAAAAGGCACAGGCUUAACUUGUGUUAGCACAUGAAACUGUACAACUUGAGUGCAGGAGAGGUAAGCGGAAUUCCUAGUGUAGCGGUGAAAUGCGUAGAUAUUAGGAGGAACACCAGUGGCGAAGGCGGCUUACUGGACUGUAACUGACGCUGAGUCACGAAAGCGUGGGUAGCAAACAGGAUUAGAUACCCUGGUAGUCCACGCUGUAA
This 740-nucleotide ribosomal RNA is filed under the name uncultured bacterium. RNAcentral describes it as "bacterial SSU rRNA". It matches the Rfam family "Bacterial small subunit ribosomal RNA", at positions 49 to 805 of the family's 1533-position model. The record is from RNAcentral.